Molecule: ribosomal RNA, 336 nt
Filed under: Triticum aestivum (bread wheat)
Lineage: Eukaryota; Viridiplantae; Streptophyta; Magnoliopsida; Poales; Poaceae
Description: partial small subunit ribosomal RNA
Source: RNAcentral
AUGAGCCUAAGAUGGUUCUCAAUUUUUGCCUAUUGUAGUUUAUGGUGCUCUUUUUUCUUUAUAGAAAUUUCGUAUGCUCUUAUGUUCACGUGGAGAGGCAACAUCAUAGCCAAUAUUAAUGUGACUUGUCUGUAUUUUGCUGAAUUUUUAAGCCCUAGUCCUACUCGGUUUCCUAGCGUGUGUGCAAUCCCGAAAUCCAAGUUUACAUCACUGCACACAAAUUUGCUAGGCACCUCUGAAUUUGAUGCAUGCGUCGAUUUGCAUGGGAAGCAGACACUACAGAUUGAUGAAACUUCCACAACUAAAUGCACAGAUGAUGCUUCUUUAUGGCCGUGA